AAAACCUACUAUUUCAAACAUCUGUCCAUCUUCAAUCUCCAACCUCCAACCAUCAAUCUUCUAUUGCUCCACUAAAUUGAUGAGGAUAUCCUUCUAUUUUUCACGAAGUGCUCGCUGAUUGAUGAGCAUCUCCUUUUAUUGCUCAAUUAAAUUGAUGGCCAUCAAUCUUCUAUUCUUCACGAAGAUCUAGAAAAAAAAUCUAAAAAAACUCUUUAGAUUUCUUUGCAGGACUGCUAAAGGUCAUAAAAACUAUUUAUGACCAUCGCUACUGCCCAAUUCUCUUUAGUUGCUCUUUCAGAUGAUUUCUCGACGGAGGUGCCUGAGCUUCUUUCGCUGCCGACGGGUGAGAAUUAGAGAUCGAAUUAGGCUCGACGGAUUGAGUCCAUCGGUGACGGUUAUGGAUUCGUCGGAGAGGAAGAUGAUGAUGGAGGAGAUAUUGUGCACAGUAGAUCUGAAAAAAUAAACCCAGAUGAUAAGUAGGUGAAAUCAAAAACAAAAGCCAAAAUAAAAAAGAAGAAGAAUAGGAGGAAAUUAGAUUUUAGAUAAUUAGGUUUAAUUAUGUAAAUAUUAUUAGUUUUAACUUUAAAAAAUAUUAAAAAUAUAUUUUUUAAAAUAAAAAAAUUAACAAAUAUAUUUUUAAAUUUUCCAUGCCUUUUUAAAUAUUUCUUCUUGGUGAUAUUUAGGAUUUCUAAGAAAAAAACAGAGAGAUAAUAAUAAUAAUAAUAAUCCUUUAAUUUCAAAAUAUUAGAUAAUUUAUAUUUUUUAAGUGAACUUAAUAUAUUUAUAUAAAAAAUAUUAAUUCAUUAAUUUUAUAUAAAUACAGUUGUAAAAAUUAUACAUUAAUUUAUUUUAUUCUUAAUUCAUUUAAUUAAUAUAUUUUAUUAUUAAUUUAUUUAAUUAUUUGUUAUUAAAAAAAAGAGAAGAGUCUAAGCUUUAAAACGGAAUUGGUGCCAUGUAGACUUUCUAAGGUGGAUCUUAUUAUUAAUAUAUUUUUUUUCUAUGGUGGAUAUUGUAUUCCACGUAAUUGGUGCCAUGUAGACUUUUUGUUAAAUUUUUAACGGAAUAGACGGUUUUUAAAAUUUUUGUAAAAAAAAUACAGUUCACUGAGUUGACCGUAAAAUUUUUUAGUCCAGUGAUGCAUUUGUAAAUCGAGCUCGAGUAGAGUAGGGAAAAGUAGAUUUAACCCCUUUUCAAACGCAUUAUAUAUACAUACCCAAUAAACAUUAACAAUAUUUACAAAUAAUAAUCACAAAAUAAUAUCCAGAUCUGAAUCAAAACAGAAAAAUCAAAAAGGGAGAGAGAGAGAGAAGAUUUGUCACCGUCGAAAUAAUCGUUGAAGAAAUCCCAAAGUUUGAGAGCAAAAUUAAAAUCAAAAUCAAAAGGUAGCUUUCUAGAUCGGAGUCAUCAACCAUUUUAGAUCGAACUAAUCAACCGAUCAAAAGAAGUAUUCUCUGUGUAUUGCCGUUUUGGGGAGUAUGAUCUAUAGUUCUGUACUAUGUAAAACUAUU
This 1508-nucleotide long non-coding RNA is filed under the name Panax ginseng (ginseng). Its description in RNAcentral is "long non-coding RNA (PGIN_LNC002172)". Lineage: Eukaryota; Viridiplantae; Streptophyta; Magnoliopsida; Apiales; Araliaceae. The record is from RNAcentral.